Molecule: long non-coding RNA, 935 nt
Organism: Helicoverpa armigera (cotton bollworm)
Lineage: Eukaryota; Metazoa; Arthropoda; Insecta; Lepidoptera; Noctuidae
Exons: 6
Source: RefSeq, a predicted model, not a curated record
GAAUACCAACUGUCAAAGACUUUUCAAAUAUAGAAUGUGCGGUUUUAAAGAAAUUUUUAGGAAAUUUUCUAUGUUGAAUUAAAUAGUUUAAAUGCCAUUUUUGUACACUGAUUUUAUAUUUUCCAAUCAAAAUACUUUAUGUAAGAAAUAAUCAAAUUAGUUUUAUGUUUUAAAUCCGGUGGCUGUAUGAUAUACAAAUUCUUUGUUCCAAAUGAGAUAAACUUUUCGCAACACUUGACAGAUUAUGGCACCAUGUAAACGAAAACGGAGCAGAUCGUGCAGGACCACGCGGUGUCGAACGAAACGCGGGCGAUUUAAGCGUUGUCGGCCAUGCGAUCGACGGUAUAGUGUGAGAAAGCCUUGUUGUAAGCCCAAACGCAAACGCCGCUGUCCACGCAGAAGAAAGUCUUCGUGCGGACGAAAAUCACGCUACAUGUACCGUUGCCGAUCACGUUCAGGAGCAUUCAAGCGUUGCCGCAAGUGCGAUCGUCGGUACCGCGUCAGACGUAGAUCCUCAUCACGAUAAACUAAACAUACAAUAUUGGUGGCUGGUAUUGUCUUGUUGGUGAUUUGCUCUCCAUUCCAAGUGUUCGAGAAAUUGUGCUAGUGACUCCCAUAUGUUUAUAAAAUACUCAAAUUAAGAGAAAUUUAUUUAAAUAGUUGUUUUAUUUAGUUAAUUUUAUAAUUUACGCCUAAGGUCCAAGUUCACUGAUAGCAAAAACGUUAGUUUUCCUAAAACAACUGUUUAAAUAUUUUUUUCAGAUUAUUUUUUUUAAGGGAACAGUUGUUUUAAGGGAAACUGACGUUUUGUUGUCGGUGAACUUCGCCUUACAAUACCCGCAUACUGAAGACUAAAAAGUCAGACGACAGUUGACACAAUGAUAGACAAAAACUAAUUUUUGAAGAAAAUCCUGAUUCCAGUCAAAGUUUUCAGU